This 489-nucleotide ribosomal RNA is filed under the name uncultured bacterium. RNAcentral describes it as "bacterial SSU rRNA". It matches the Rfam family "Bacterial small subunit ribosomal RNA", at positions 30 to 507 of the family's 1533-position model. The record is from RNAcentral.
UUGAACGCUGGCGGCAGGCCUAACACAUGCAAGUCGAACGGUAACAGGAAGAAGCUUGCUCCUUUGCUGACGAGUGGCGGACGGGUGAGUAAUGUCUGGGAAACUGCCUGAUGGAGGGGGAUAACUACUGGAAACGGUAGCUAAUACCGCAUAACGUCGCAAGACCAAAGAGGGGGACCUUCGGGCCUCUUGCCAUCGGAUGUGCCCAGAUGGGAUUAGCUAGUAGGUGGGGUAACGGCUCACCUAGGCGACGAUCCCUAGCUGGUCUGAGAGGAUGACCAGCCACACUGGAACUGAGACACGGUCCAGACUCCUACGGGAGGCAGCAGUGGGGAAUAUUGCACAAUGGGCGCAAGCCUGAUGCAGCCAUGCCGCGUGUAUGAAGAAGGCCUUCGGGUUGUAAAGUACUUUCAGCGGGGAGGAAGGGAGUAAAGUUAAUACCUUUGCUCAUUGACGUUACCCGCAGAAGAAGCACCGGCUAACUCCGUG